UUAUAGAUGGACCCGCGCCGUAUUAGCUAGUUGGUAAGGUAACGGCUUACCAAGGCGACGAUACGUAGCCGACCUGAGAGGGUGAUCGGCCACACUGGAACUGAGACACGGUCCAGACUCCUACGGGAGGCAGCAGUAGGGAAUCUUCCGCAAUGGGCGAAAGCCUGACGGAGCAACGCCGCGUGAGUGAUGAAGGUCUUCGGAUCGUAAAACUCUGUUAUUAGGGAAGAACAUACGUGUAAGUAACUAUGCACGUCUUGACGGUACCUAAUCAGAAAGCCACGGCUAACUACGUGCCAGCAGCCGCGGUAAUACGUAGGUGGCAAGCGUUAUCCGGAAUUAUUGGGCGUAAAGCGCGCGUAGGCGGUUUUUUAAGUCUGAUGUGAAAGCCCACGGCUCAACCGUGGAGGGUCAUUGGAAACUGGAAAACUUGAGUGCAGAAGAAGAAAGUGGAAUUCCAUGUGUAGCGGUGAAAUGCGCAGAGAUAUGGAGGAACACCAGUGGCGAAAGCGACUUUCUGGUCUGUAACUGACGCUUAUGUGCGAAAGCGUGGGGAUCAAACAGGAUUAGAUACCCUGGUAGUCCACGCCGUAAACGAUGAGUGCUAAUGUUAUGGGGUUUCCCCCCCUUAAUGCUGCAGCUAACGCAUUAAACACUCCCCCUGGGGAGUACGACCGCAAGGUUGAGACUCACAGGAAUUGACGGGGACGCCCACCAGCGGUGGAGCAUGUGGUUUAUUUCUAAGCAACGCGCAGAACCUUACCAAAUCUUGACAUCGUUUGACAACUCUUAAAAUAGACCUUCCUCUUCCGGGGACAAAUAACAAGUGGUGCAGGUUGUCGUCACCUCCGUCCUGGAAUUUUGGGUUAGUUCGUCCACCACGGCAGCCUUGACCUUAUUUGCUUCAUUAAAUUGGGAGUCUGGGUUUAUUGCCGGUGACGACCGAAGAA
Molecule: ribosomal RNA, 950 nt
Filed under: Staphylococcus haemolyticus
Lineage: Bacteria; Bacillati; Bacillota; Bacilli; Caryophanales; Staphylococcaceae
Description: bacterial SSU rRNA
Rfam family: Bacterial small subunit ribosomal RNA
Source: RNAcentral